Molecule: ribosomal RNA, 641 nt
Filed under: uncultured marine eukaryote
Lineage: Eukaryota
Description: SSU rRNA
Rfam family: Eukaryotic small subunit ribosomal RNA
Source: RNAcentral
GGUUAAAAAGCUCGUAGUUGGAUCUCAACAGCCUUGAAGCGGUUAACUUUGUAGUUUUACUGCUUUAUAGGCUGUGCUUUUGCUGGAGGUUUAGGGGUGCUCUUGAUCGAGUGUCUCUGGAUGCCAGCAGGUUUACUUUGAAAAAAUUAGAGUGCUCAAAGCAGGCUAAAAUGCCUGAAUAUUCGUGCAUGGAAUAAUAGAAUAGGAUGUCGAUCCUAUUUUGUUGGUUUUCGGGACUCGACAUAAUGAUAAAUAGGGACAGUCGGGGGCAUUUGUAUUCAAACGACAGAGGUGAAAUUCUUGGACCGUUUGAAGACAAACUACUGCGAAAGCAUUUGCCUAGAAUGUUUUCAUUAAUCAAGAACGAAAGUUAGAGGUUCGAAGGCGAUUAGAUACCGCCCUAGUUCUAACCAUAAACGAUGCCAGCUAGCGAUCUGCCUGCGUUUUUACUGUAGACUGGGCAGGAAGCUUCCGGGAAACCAAAGCAUUUGGGUUCCAGGGGAAGUAUGGUUGCAAAGCUGAAACUUAAAGGAAUUGACGGAAGGGCACCACCAGGAGUGGAGCCUGUGGCUUAAUUUGACUCAACACGGGAAAUCUCACCAGGCCCGGACACUGGAAGGAUUGACAGAUUGAUAGCUCUU